This 252-nucleotide ribosomal RNA is filed under the name uncultured bacterium. Its description in RNAcentral is "partial 16S ribosomal RNA". It matches the Rfam family "Bacterial small subunit ribosomal RNA", at positions 524 to 776 of the family's 1533-position model. The record is from RNAcentral.
UACGGAGGAUGCGAGCGUUAUCCGGAUUUAUUGGGUUUAAAGGGUGCGUAGGCGGACUGUCAAGUCAGCGGUAAAAUACGGGGGCUCAACCUCAUCCAGCCGUUGAAACUGGGGAUCUAGAGUGUGCGAGAGGUAUGCGGAAUGCGUGGUGUAGCGGUGAAAUGCAUAGAUAUCACGCAGAACCCCGAUUGCGAAGGCAGCAUACCGGUGCACAACUGACGCUCAGGCACGAAAGCGUGGGUAUCGAACAGG